CGUUCCCGGGUCUUGUACACACCGCCCGUCACACCACGAAAGUCGGCAACACCCGAAGCCGGUGGCCUAACCCGCAAGGGAGGGGAGCCGUCGAAGGUGGGGCUGGCGAUUGGGGUG
Molecule: ribosomal RNA, 117 nt
Filed under: uncultured bacterium
Lineage: Bacteria
Description: partial 16S ribosomal RNA
Rfam family: Bacterial small subunit ribosomal RNA
Source: RNAcentral